GUAGGGGGCUAGCGUUGUCCGGAUUCAUUGGGCGUAAAGAGCGUGUAGGCGGUUCAAUAGGUCCGGUGUGAGAACUCGAGGCUCAACCUCGAGAGGUCGCCGGAAACCAUUGAGCUAGAGUCCGGAAGAGGAGAGUGGAAUUCCUGGUGUAGCGGUGAAAUGCGCAGAUAUCAGGAAGAACACCCAUGGCGAAGGCAGCUCUCUGGGACGGUACUGACGCUGAGACGCGAAAGCGUGGGGGAGCGAACAGGAUUAGAUACCCUGGUAGUCCACGCCGUAAACGAUGGGCACUAGGUGUGGGUGGUGUCGACUCCAUCCGUGCCGAAGCUAACGCAUUAAGUGCCCCCGCCUGGGAGUACGGCCGCAAGGCUA
This 372-nucleotide ribosomal RNA is filed under the name uncultured organism. Its description in RNAcentral is "partial 16S ribosomal RNA". It matches the Rfam family "Bacterial small subunit ribosomal RNA", at positions 527 to 896 of the family's 1533-position model. The record is from RNAcentral.